RNAcentral lists this ribosomal RNA (253 nucleotides) under uncultured bacterium. RNAcentral's name for it is "partial 16S ribosomal RNA". It matches the Rfam family "Bacterial small subunit ribosomal RNA", at positions 524 to 776 of the family's 1533-position model. The record is from RNAcentral.
UACGGAGGGUGCAAGCGUUAUCCGGAUUUACUGGGUUUAAAGGGUGCGUAGGUGGGCAAGUAAGUCAGUGGUGAAAUCUCCGGGCUUAACUCGGAAACUGCCAUUGAUACUAUGUGUCUUGGAUAUCCUGGAGGUAAGCGGAAUAUGUCAUGUAGCGGUGAAAUGCUUAGAUAUGACAUAGAACACCCAUUGCGAAGGCAGCUUACUACGGGAUUAUUGACACUGAGGCACGAAAGCGUGGGGAUCAAACAGG